GUCGGAUUAGCUAGUUGGUAGGGUAACGGCCUACCAAGGCGACGAUCCGUAGCUGGUCUGAGAGGACGAUCAGCCACACUGGGACUGAGACACGGCCCAGACUCCUACGGGAGGCAGCAGUGGGGAAUCUUGGACAAUGGGGGAAACCCUGAUCCAGCAAUGCCGCGUGUGUGAAGAAGGCCUUCGGGUUGUAAAGCACUUUCGAUAGGGAAGAAAAGCUGGUUGUGAAUAACAGCCGGUCUUGACGUUACCUAGAGAAGAAGCACCGGCUAACUCUGUGCCAGCAGCCGCGGUAAUACAGAGGGUGCAAGCGUUAAUCGGAAUUACUGGGCGUAAAGCGCGCGUAGGCGGUUCGAUAAGUCGGGUGUGAAAGCCCCGGGCUCAACCUGGGAAUGCCAUUCGAUACUGUCGAGCUAGAGUAUGGUAGAGGAAAGCGGAAUUCCACAUGUAGCGGUGAAAUGCGUAGAUAUGUGGAGGAACAUCAGUGGCGAAGGCGGCUUUCUGG
This 505-nucleotide ribosomal RNA is filed under the name uncultured Gammaproteobacteria bacterium. RNAcentral describes it as "bacterial SSU rRNA". It matches the Rfam family "Bacterial small subunit ribosomal RNA", at positions 235 to 732 of the family's 1533-position model. Lineage: Bacteria; Pseudomonadati; Pseudomonadota; Gammaproteobacteria. The record is from RNAcentral.